This 846-nucleotide ribosomal RNA is filed under the name Escherichia coli. RNAcentral describes it as "partial 23S ribosomal RNA". It matches the Rfam family "Bacterial large subunit ribosomal RNA", at positions 394 to 1239 of the family's 2925-position model. Lineage: Bacteria; Pseudomonadati; Pseudomonadota; Gammaproteobacteria; Enterobacterales; Enterobacteriaceae. The record is from RNAcentral.
AUACUGUGAGCUCGAUGAGUAGGGCGGGACACGUGGUAUCCUGUCUGAAUAUGGGGGGACCAUCCUCCAAGGCUAAAUACUCCUGACUGACCGAUAGUGAACCAGUACCGUGAGGGAAAGGCGAAAAGAACCCCGGCGAGGGGAGUGAAAAAGAACCUGAAACCGUGUACGUACAAGCAGUGGGAGCACAGAGCAAUCUGUGUGACUGCGUACCUUUUGUAUAAUGGGUCAGCGACUUAUAUUCUGUAGCAAGGUUAACCGAAUAGGGGAGCCGAAGGGAAACCGAGUCUUAACUGGGCGUUAAGUUGCAGGGUAUAGACCCGAAACCCGGUGAUCUAGCCAUGGGCAGGUUGAAGGUUGGGUAACACUAACUGGAGGACCGAACCGACUAAUGUUGAAAAAUUAGCGGAUGACUUGUGGCUGGGGGUGAAAGGCCAAUCAAACCGGGAGAUAGCUGGUUCUCCCCGAAAGCUAUUUAGGUAGCGCCUCGUGAAUUCAUCUCCGGGGGUAGAGCACUGUUUCGGCAAGGGGGUCAUCCCGACUUACCAACCCGAUGCAAACUGCGAAUACCGGAGAAUGUUAUCACGGGAGACACACGGCGGGUGCUAACGUCCGUCGUGAAGAGGGAAACAACCCAGACCGCCAGCUAAGGUCCCAAAGUCAUGGUUAAGUGGGAAACGAUGUGGGAAGGCCCAGACAGCCAGGAUGUUGGCUUAGAAGCAGCCAUCAUUUAAAGAAAGCGUAAUAGCUCACUGGUCGAGUCGGCCUGCGCGGAAGAUGUAACGGGGCUAAACCAUGCACCGAAGCUGCGGCAGCGACACUGUGUGUUGUUGGGUAGGGGAGCGU